Molecule: ribosomal RNA, 253 nt
Filed under: uncultured bacterium
Lineage: Bacteria
Description: partial 16S ribosomal RNA
Rfam family: Bacterial small subunit ribosomal RNA
Source: RNAcentral
UACGUAGGGGCCUAGCGUUGUCCGGAAUUAUUGGGCGUAAAGUGUGCGCAGGCGGCAGAGCAAGUCGAGUGUGAAAGCCCCGGGCUUAACUUGGGAAUUGCGCUCGAAACUACUUUGCUGGAGUGUGGCAGAGGAAGGUGGAAUUCCACGUGUAGCGGUGAAAUGCGUAGAGAUGUGGAGGAACACCAAUGGCGAAGGCAGCCUUCUGGGCCAACACUGACGCUCAUGCACGAAAGCGUGGGGAGCAAACAGG